RNAcentral lists this unclassified non-coding RNA (498 nucleotides) under uncultured Glomus. RNAcentral's name for it is "SSU rRNA". It matches the Rfam family "Eukaryotic small subunit ribosomal RNA", at positions 591 to 1091 of the family's 1831-position model. The record is from RNAcentral. Lineage: Eukaryota; Fungi; Glomeromycota; Glomeromycetes; Glomerales; Glomeraceae.
CCAAUAGCGUAUAUUAAAGUUGUUGCAGUUAAAAAGCUCGUAGUUGAAUUUCGGGAUCAAGUCGUCGGUCGUGCCUCGGUACGCACUGGUGACAUUGGUUUCUCCCUUCUGAAGAACCUUGAUGUCAUUAAUUUGGUGUCUUGGGGAAUCAGGACUGUUACUUUGAAAAAAUUAAAGUGUUUAAAGCAGGCUCACGCUUGAAUACAUUAGCCUGGAAUAAUGAAAUAGGACGUUUGAUUCUAUUUUGUUGGUUUCUAGGAUCGACGUAAUGAUUAAUAGGGAUAGUUGGGGGCAUUAGUAUUCAAUUGUCAGAGGUGAAAUUCUUGGAUUUAUUGAAGACUAACUACUGCGAAAGCAUUUGCCAAGGAUGUUUUCAUUAAUCAAGAACGAAAGUUAGGGGAUCGAAGACGAUCAGAUACCGUCGUAGUCUUAACCAUAAACUAUGCCGACUAGGGAUCGGAUGAUGUUAAUUUUUUAAUGACUCAUUCGGCGCCUUAC